UAAAUGGAUUUAAUGAAAUCCACCCCUAUAAUAUAUGGGUAAAUAU
Capsicum annuum is the source of this 46-nucleotide non-coding RNA. NCBI's taxonomy places the organism in Eukaryota, Viridiplantae, Streptophyta, Magnoliopsida, Solanales, Solanaceae. The record is from Rfam.